UUGAACGCUGGCGGCAGGCCUAACACAUGCAAGUCGAACGGAAACAUGUCUAGCUUGCUAGAUGAUGUCGAGUGGCGGACGGGUGAGUAAUACUUAGGAACAUGCCUUUGGGUGGGGGAUAACUAUUGGAAACGAUAGCUAAUACCGCAUAACGUCUACGGACCAAAGGGGGCGCUUGCGCUCUCGCCUAAAGAGUGGCCUAAGCGAGAUUAGCUUGUUGGUGGGGUAAAGGCUCACCAAGG
RNAcentral lists this ribosomal RNA (242 nucleotides) under uncultured Glaciecola sp. RNAcentral's name for it is "partial 16S ribosomal RNA". It matches the Rfam family "Bacterial small subunit ribosomal RNA", at positions 30 to 273 of the family's 1533-position model. The record is from RNAcentral. Lineage: Bacteria; Pseudomonadati; Pseudomonadota; Gammaproteobacteria; Alteromonadales; Alteromonadaceae.